This 493-nucleotide ribosomal RNA is filed under the name uncultured bacterium. Its description in RNAcentral is "partial 16S ribosomal RNA". It matches the Rfam family "Bacterial small subunit ribosomal RNA", at positions 27 to 507 of the family's 1533-position model. The record is from RNAcentral.
GAGUGAACGCUGGCGGUAGGCCUAACACAUGCAAGUCGAACGGCAGCACAGUAAGAGCUUGCUCUUACGGGUGGCGAGUGGCGGACGGGUGAGGAAUACAUCGGAAUCUACUUUUUCGUGGGGGAUAACGUAGGGAAACUUACGCUAAUACCGCAUACGACCUACGGGUGAAAGCAGGGGAUCUUCGGACCUUGUGCGAUUGAAUGAGCCGAUGUCGGAUUAGCUAGUUGGCGGGGUAAAGGCCCACCAAGGCGACGAUCCGUAGCUGGUCUGAGAGGAUGAUCAGCCACACUGGAACUGAGACACGGUCCAGACUCCUACGGGAGGCAGCAGUGGGGAAUAUUGGACAAUGGGCGCAAGCCUGAUCCAGCCAUACCGCGUGGGUGAAGAAGGCCUUCGGGUUGUAAAGCCCUUUUGUUGGGAAAGAAAAGCAGCAGGUUAAUACCCCGCUGUUCUGACGGUACCCAAAGAAUAAGCACCGGCUAACUUCGUG